GGAUUUUGGCUCAGCGGUAGAGCUCUCGCCUAGCAACUGUGAAGCGCUGGGUUCAAUCCUCAGCACCA
RNAcentral lists this transfer RNA (68 nucleotides) under Marmota monax (woodchuck). RNAcentral's name for it is "tRNA.Ala". The record is from RNAcentral. Lineage: Eukaryota; Metazoa; Chordata; Mammalia; Rodentia; Sciuridae.